GGAGUUUGGACCGUCUCUCAGUUCCAAUGUGGCCGAUCACCCUCUCAGGUCGGCUACCGAUCGUCGACUUGGUGGGCCGUUACCUCACCAACUAUCUAAUCGGACGCGAGCCCACCCCAAACCGGUUUGCACCUUUUACCCCUGCACCAUGUGAUGCCGUGGUCUUAUGCGGUAUUAGCACCUGUUUCCAAGUGUUAUCCCCCUGUCUGGGACAGGUUGCUCACGCGUUACUCACCCGUCCGCCACUAAGUUAUAUCGCAAUCCUGCCGAAGCUCUCAUCCGUUAUAACUCCGUUCGACUUGCAUGUGUUAAGCACGCCGCCAGCGUUCGUCCUGAGCCAGGAUCAAACUACU
Molecule: ribosomal RNA, 353 nt
Filed under: uncultured Coriobacteriales bacterium
Lineage: Bacteria; Bacillati; Actinomycetota; Coriobacteriia; Coriobacteriales
Description: partial 16S ribosomal RNA
Source: RNAcentral